RNAcentral lists this ribosomal RNA (448 nucleotides) under uncultured bacterium. RNAcentral describes it as "bacterial SSU rRNA". It matches the Rfam family "Bacterial small subunit ribosomal RNA", at positions 64 to 507 of the family's 1533-position model. The record is from RNAcentral.
GAGCGGUAGAGAGGUGCUUGCACCUCUUGAGAGCGGCGGACGGGUGAGUAAUGCCUAGGAAUCUGCCUGGUAGUGGGGGAUAACGCUCGGAAACGGACGCUAAUACCGCAUACGUCCUACGGGAGAAAGCAGGGGACCUUCGGGCCUUGCGCUAUCAGAUGAGCCUAGGUCGGAUUAGCUAGUUGGUGGGGUAAUGGCUCACCAAGGCGACGAUCCGUAACUGGUCUGAGAGGAUGAUCAGUCACACUGGAACUGAGACACGGUCCAGACUCCUACGGGAGGCAGCAGUGGGGAAUAUUGGACAAUGGGCGAAAGCCUGAUCCAGCCAUGCCGCGUGUGUGAAGAAGGUCUUCGGAUUGUAAAGCACUUUAAGUUGGGAGGAAGGGCAUUAACCUAAUACGUUAGUGUUUUGACGUUACCGACAGAAUAAGCACCGGCUAACUCUGUG